GACGAACGCUGGCGGCGUGCCUAACACAUGCAAGUCGAACGGAGUUUAUCGCGUGAAAUCUUCGGAUGGAGCAUGAUAAACUUAGUGGCGGACGGGCGAGUAACGCGUGAGCAACCUGCCUUUCAGUGGGGAAUAACAUUGGGAAACCAAUGCUAAUACCGCAUAACACAUUUUGGUCGCAUGAUUGAGAUGUCAAAGAUAUAUUGCUGAAAGAUGGG
This 218-nucleotide ribosomal RNA is filed under the name uncultured bacterium. RNAcentral's name for it is "partial 16S ribosomal RNA". It matches the Rfam family "Bacterial small subunit ribosomal RNA", at positions 28 to 229 of the family's 1533-position model. The record is from RNAcentral.